ACUCCUACGGGAGGCAGCAGUGGGGAAUAUUGGACAAUGGGCGAAAGACCUGAUCCAGCCAUGCCGCGUGUGUGAAGAAGGUCUUCGGAUUGUAAAGCACUUUAAGUUGGGUAGGAAGGGCGAGUUACCUAAUACGUAAUUGUUUUGUACGUUACCGACAGAAUAAGCACCGGCUAACUCUGUGCCAGCAGCCGCGGUAAUACAGAGGGGUGCAAGCGUUAAUCGGAAUUACUGGGCGUAAAGCGCGCGUAGGUGGUUUGUUAAGUUGGAUGUGAAAUCCCCGGGGCUCAACCUGGGAACUGCAUUCAAAACUGACUGACUAGAGUAUGGUAGAGGGUGGUGGAAUUUCCUGUGUAGCGGUGAAAUGCGUAGAUAUAGGAAGGAACACCAGUGGCGAAGGCGACCACCUGGACUAAUACUGACACUGAGGUGCGAAAGCGUGGGGAGCAAACAGG
RNAcentral lists this ribosomal RNA (455 nucleotides) under uncultured bacterium. RNAcentral's name for it is "bacterial SSU rRNA". It matches the Rfam family "Bacterial small subunit ribosomal RNA", at positions 335 to 776 of the family's 1533-position model. The record is from RNAcentral.